GCCGGUUUAGCUCAGUUGGUAGAGCAGCGGUUUUGUAAACCGAAGGUCGCGGGUUCGAGCCCUGCAACCGGCA
Molecule: non-coding RNA, 73 nt
Organism: Phenylobacterium sp. SCN 69-14
Lineage: Bacteria; Pseudomonadati; Pseudomonadota; Alphaproteobacteria; Caulobacterales; Caulobacteraceae
Source: Rfam